GCCGGUCCUCGGUAGUGGCCCCCGGAGAUCUCCGGGAGCUUCGAUCGAAGACCGGC
Molecule: regulatory RNA element, 56 nt
Organism: Streptomyces chattanoogensis
Lineage: Bacteria; Bacillati; Actinomycetota; Actinomycetes; Kitasatosporales; Streptomycetaceae
Rfam family: Actino-pnp RNA
Source: Rfam